CUUUCCCUCAUUCAGAACAGAAACUGCACCCCAUCUCUUCACGUGAAAAACCAGAGAGAGAACAGUGAGAGAACUCGAGAGAGCAAGGGGGAGGUCGCCGCUCAAGCCGCCACCACCGCCGGGACGCCGUCGUACACGCGAGAGAGAGCUUUGCGAGAGGGAGAGAGAAAUCGCGAGGGAGAAGGAAGGUGAAGGGGACUUGGACAGCAAGAGAUUGUUCUUCCAAACUUCAUUCUCUUCUCUUUUCAGAUCAAGAAUCAAGGGUCUAAGUUCUCAAGGAAAAAUGUAUAUUUUCAUGAGACUUGAAGAAUUUUUGGAUCAUCAAGGUGCCCAGCGCUUGUCAGUGGCCGCCCAGCGCCUAUGGCGGUUCCAGAAACCCAACCUUGAAGUAAUUGGGCGCCCAGCGCCCAUAAAGGGGCGCCCAGCACUCUGCACAGAUGCAGAAAUCAUUAUAAAAGGAUUUUUCUUCAGUUUCAAAAGGGAACUCAAUUUUGGAGACUUAGAACAGAACCCAAACAGAGAGAACUUGAAGGAGAUCAUCAAGGAAGGUCUAGGAGGCUAGAGAGAAGGCUUUGGAGCCGGGUUCAUCGCCGGGGAACCGUCACGGAUUCGGUUUUUCAUCGUUCUUCUUCUCUUUUAUGAUUGUAAAGCUAUCCAUGGAAAUGGAUAGCUAAUUUCUCAUUUAUUGGGAUUAGAACUAGUUGUUUUGAUGCUCAUGUAAUCUAUUUGAUUUCCUUUCAUGCAAAUUUGAUGUUUCUAUGUUAAAGAAUCAAUGGUUUUCUCUUUUGGUCCAUGCUAUAUCUUAGGUUGAUCCCCUUGGGUAUUUUGAUUGAUUCAAACUUGUGUAGGGAACUCACACGUUCUUGAGUCUGAACUAGAGUUAAUCAUAUGUAUCUUUGCCAUGAUUCAAUGAUUUUACCUUGUGCUUUAUGCUUGUUUUGGAUUGAUCACCUAGAACAUGAAUUUAGGUUUAAUAGGAUGGUGGGAACUAGCUAUUUAAACCUGAAAUAGGUAAAAUCAUCUAAUGAUUCUAAGGUCUAGGGAUAGGGUUAGAUCAUUAGUCCAUUCAAACAUCCAUGCUUAAUGCUACUCACUAUUGUUAAUCGAUCAAGGGAUUGAGGGUUAAUAUAGCUGAGUUGAUAAUCUUCUACUCCGGGGGACUGGGUAGUAAGAUAAGAAAUGGUGGGAGGAAUCAAUUUCAUAGAACUAUAUUUGUAUGUGAAUCAAUAGAAUACAUAGAGGUCAGACAACGAAACUCUAAUCUCAUCAAAACUAUCUACCUUGGUGAAUCCAACUCUUUUAUCUUCUUUAUUUAUGUUUUUAUGUUUUUAAACAAACACCUAAUAUAUUUGUAAACCAUCAUUUAAGUUUGUUAGCUAUUGAACGACAUAAGUAUUACACCUCCUUGUGGAUACGACAAAACCCUUUACUAUACUACAAUUGAGUCUUGAGAGAUUCAAACGUAGAGUGGUAAAAAUCUUUCAACAACUGGACAGCGAGCUUCAGAGCCUAAUAUCACCUAAUUCUGGGUCUCAGAUGAAAAAGUGAUAAACUAGAAAGUUGUAGAUUUUCAAAAUAGCUUUCCAGGCAUGUAUAGUAUGUCAAUUUCGGCUGAGGAAUGAAUUCUGGAGACCAGUUUUAAUGCACACUGUUCCUGCUGUCUAAAUGCUAGGGUUCGAGUAGAAGAGGAACUUGGACAGCAAGGAGCAGAUUAUCCAAGCUUCAUUCUUCCAUUCUUUUCAGAUCAAGAAAUCAAGAUGGUGACCACCACGAUAUUGGGGACUAUCGUGAGAUGGGAGAUCGUUCUGAGUAGGCCAGCGGAAGACCGACUCUGGGAGACCGACGGUUCCGGAGUCCGGAGAGUCUACGUCGGCGAUGCGGAGCUCUUAGGGAGGAACAGAUCUGGGACGGUUGUGGAGAGGCAGAUCCUUAGGGGGAUGGGACUGUUGUGCUGCCACAUCCUCCCGCUAGGUUUCAUCAGACUACAGUGGACGAGGAGGAAGAGGAUCCUUCGGAGGACACUACAGUGGAGUCACGGUUGGUCGAGGAGGAGGAGGCAGUGGAGUCUUCACCACCAGAGGCCAAGUCGAGAGUCUGUGCGCAGCGUGUACCUGGGCGUCCAAAGUGCUUUAGAGUGGGACCUCGAAAGAGCGUGAUAAAGCUGGAGCAGUCUAAGAAGAGUGCGCAUGGAGCGGGAGCUGACGUUCCGGAGCGGGAUCAGGAUUAGAGUGUUCCUUUCUGUGGGGCUGGGAAUUCGUGUCGAACUAUUAUUUAUCAUUUUUACUUUCGGGUUUUCUUUUGAUGUACUUUGAUGUAGGGCUUCAGCCCAAGGUUUAAUUUAUGUACUUUGGAGUUACAGUUUCUUUAUUUAUGAGUAUUUCUUAUUUAUUC
This is a long non-coding RNA of Lotus japonicus, 2391 nucleotides long. RefSeq lists it as uncharacterized. NCBI's taxonomy places the organism in Eukaryota, Viridiplantae, Streptophyta, Magnoliopsida, Fabales, Fabaceae. The record is from RefSeq and is a predicted model, not a curated record. The transcript has 3 exons.